Molecule: ribosomal RNA, 435 nt
Filed under: Pseudomonas sp. 3G
Lineage: Bacteria; Pseudomonadati; Pseudomonadota; Gammaproteobacteria; Pseudomonadales; Pseudomonadaceae
Description: bacterial SSU rRNA
Rfam family: Bacterial small subunit ribosomal RNA
Source: RNAcentral
GCGGCAGGCCUAACACAUGCAAGUCGAGCGGAUGAAAGGAGCUUGCUCCUGGAUUCAGCGGCGGACGGGUGAGUAAUGCCUAGGAAUCUGCCUGGUAGUGGGGGACAACGUUUCGAAAGGAACGCUAAUACCGCAUACGUCCUACGGGAGAAAGCAGGGGACCUUCGGGCCUUGCGCUAUCAGAUGAGCCUAGGUCGGAUUAGCUAGUUGGUGAGGUAAUGGCUCACCAAGGCGACGAUCCGUAACUGGUCUGAGAGGAUGAUCAGUCACACUGGAACUGAGACACGGUCCAGACUCCUACGGGAGGCAGCAGUGGGGAAUAUUGGACAAUGGGCGAAAGCCUGAUCCAGCCAUGCCGCGUGUGUGAAGAAGGUCUUCGGAUUGUAAAGCACUUUAAGUUGGGAGGAAGGGUUGUAGAUUAAUACUCUGCAAUUU